This 1081-nucleotide long non-coding RNA is filed under the name Homo sapiens (human). RNAcentral's name for it is "HSALNT0077284". Lineage: Eukaryota; Metazoa; Chordata; Mammalia; Primates; Hominidae. The record is from RNAcentral.
GUGAAAUGCAAAUUCUGAUUCAGUAGGUGAAGAGGGAGAAUUCUGAGAUUCUAGGCAUCCAAUUAGUUACCAGAUGGUGCCUAUGCUGUUGGUCUACAGGCUGUAUUUUAUAUAGCAGGGUUUGGUACAAUCUUUCUCAACCAGACCUGGAAGAGAAGUUGUAACAUGGCUGCUGCUCUGCAAGCUCACAUCCACUAUCCAGGCUGAAGCCAGAAGAAGUGGGAAGAGAAAAACCAAAGGACAGUGCCCUCUGUAAACCACUUUUAAAAAACGUUUCUCAGCAGCUACUCUUUAGAGGUAUGAUGGAUCUCCCCACAAAGUCUGGUUCAGGUGUCAAGACCUACACACCAAGAAACGAUGAGAAGAAUUAUCAUUCACAUGAGACUUUCUGGGGCAAGCAGAGUGGCUACCAAACAGGUCUUAAAAUGGCUUGAGAAAUCCAGAGAUUUGAAGUUCAGGAUAGAAAACAGCAUCAAUAUUAUCAGAAUGCACAAGCCACGAACCCCAUUGCCAGACUGCUUGUUACAUGGCAGGUCCCAGAUAAUAAUUAGGAAAACAAAUCAGGACCGAAACUCCAGAGAGGCACUUUUGAAGUGGCCUCCGAUGCGAAGGUGAGAUCAGAAAUACGCCUGUGGAACCCUCUACAUGCGGAUCUGGCAAGCAUUCAACACAAACGCAAUUAGAGGGCUUACCCUUGCAUGAAAUAUUUGCUUUCCUGAUAGUCACUAACUUUAAACUUUAGGAAUGCCAGGGCAUAGUGUUUCUGUAUCAGAACUAGAAUCCUCUACUUCACUUUCUUCAGCUAUUAUUUUUGAAGUUUGCAUAUCGUAUUAAAGUCCCACCAAACAAUAAAUAGGAAAGCAUGAUUUUAUUAAAAUCCUCUUGAGACAACCGCAUCUGCCCUGGCUAUUCUUUGAUCAGGGUCUGAGAGGUUGCAGCAUGCACACUCACCCAGAGGUACUUGAGAGCAUUGUUCACGUAUUCAAUGAAUAUUGAAUGCUAGAGUGAAUCUACACUGGGCUUAGAUCAGCAUAAAUCUCCACAACUCACCUUCAAUGGUGGACACAGGCAACUAACCAGG